GCAUCAUGAUUUACAUUUGAGUGAGUGGCGAACUGGUGAGUAACACGUGGGAAACCUGCCCAGAAGCGGGGGAUAACACCUGGAAACAGAUGCUAAUACCGCAUAACAACUUGGACCGCAUGGUCCGAGUUUGAAAGAUGGCUUCGGCUAUCACUUUUGGAUGGUCCCGCGGCGUAUUAGCUAGAUGGUGAGGUAACGGCUCACCAUGGCAAUGAUACGUAGCCGACCUGAGAGGGUAAUCGGCCACAUUGGGACUGAGACACGGCCCAAACUCCUACGGGAGGCAGCAGUAGGGAAUCUUCCACAAUGGACGAAAGUCUGAUGGAGCAACGCCGCGUGAGUGAAGAAGGGUUUCGGCUCGUAAAACUCUGUUGUUAAAGAAGAACAUAUCUGAGAGUAACUGUUCAGGUAUUGACGGUAUUUAACCAGAAAGCCACGGCUAACUACGUGCCAGCAGCCGCGGUAAUACGUAGGUGGCAAGCGUUGUCCGGAUUUAUUGGGCGUAAAGCGAGCGCAGGCGG
RNAcentral lists this ribosomal RNA (521 nucleotides) under Lactiplantibacillus plantarum. Its description in RNAcentral is "bacterial SSU rRNA". It matches the Rfam family "Bacterial small subunit ribosomal RNA", at positions 69 to 578 of the family's 1533-position model. The record is from RNAcentral. Lineage: Bacteria; Bacillati; Bacillota; Bacilli; Lactobacillales; Lactobacillaceae.